This is a long non-coding RNA of Solea solea (common sole), 1751 nucleotides long. RefSeq lists it as uncharacterized. The transcript has 3 exons. NCBI's taxonomy places the organism in Eukaryota, Metazoa, Chordata, Actinopteri, Pleuronectiformes, Soleidae. The record is from RefSeq and is a predicted model, not a curated record.
AGGAGGAAGACAAGGGGCUAAUAACAAAUAGUGGGUCAGGGAAAAUUGGUAAUGGUUGGGUAGAGGCAGAGGACUUAUUAGAGGAAGUCAAAGGAAUAAAAGUGGGCAGGAGUGAAAAGUGAGUGGGAGUGAGCGAGGUGGAAAUGACAGAAGUGCCACUGAUAGACAAGAUAAGAGUGAGGCGAGGAGCGAAGGAGACUGGGAAAUGGGUCUGAGCACCUCCGAGUCUACAGGUGACUGUUUUUUUGGCAGGAGUGGGUGGAGAAGGUAAGUGUGCGAGACCAUCAUAAAGAUGAAUAGGUUGGACAGUGCAAAGCUGCGUGGAGUAGAGAGUGGUGGAGCUGCUGGAGUGGGCCGGUCAAGUGCACAGGGAGCCGAGCAAAGCAGUCAACGUGUAACAGGCGGAGGGGAGGAAGAGGAGAGACUGGAGCAGAAGAGUGUUAGAAAAACUGACAGAGGGACUUUCACUGCUUGAUGGGUGGCUCAGACUUACAGCAGGACCAAAGAAAAGUGCUCGACUUGACUCGCUGACUGAAGGGACGCUGAGCAGCUGUUUCACUUCACGGAGACUGAGUCUUAACAAACUGUUCGACAGGACUACAACAACAUCACUCCUGAUGCUUUGUGCUGCAGUCCUGACCUCCAGUUUUUGACUGCACCGUGAACAGCUUUCGUGACAACGGAGGUCGAAGAUAUUGAGGACUAUCUGAGACACUGAUUUGAGAGAAGGCUCUGAUCUUGUCCCAGUCCACAGAGAAGGAUCAUGGACAUGAGGACACAAGGGAUAGGGCAAGAUGGAGACUGAUGAUCCGCUGUGGUAACCCCUGAAAGGGAGAAGCUGGAAGAAGAAGAAGGUGUUGUCCCGGUUGAGGACAAGAUCCUGUCCCUUCAAGUCAUAGCUCCAGGACUGAAUUGUAUAUAAGAACCAGUAUAGGAUGUACGUUCUACCCAUGUAUUUUAUGGAUGAGUGGGUAAGGGGUGAGUCUCAACGGACCACUGAUCGCAGUUGGAUGUAGUGAAAACAAGAAAGUCCAGGCAGGGAAUACGUUUUUGAAAGGAAAGCAAACCUUUUCUGUCAUAUUAGUCCAAGAUUUUUAAUGCAUUGCCAAUAAUUGGGCCAGACAUUCUCUGUUUGAAUGUUUCUCUGUUUGAUGGUUUCACUACCAUUGAUUUUUUAGUAAUCACUUAUGGCGUAUUUCCACCGGCUCUACUCGCCUCGGAACGACACGGCAUGAUUAGGUUGCAUCUCCACUACUAAAAAGUACCUACUAAAAAGUACCUACUUAAUGUGGGCGGAGUCAUCACUGCACGUCAUCACUGCACGGCUGAGUGAAACUGCGAUGACUUCCUUUUAUAUGCGACACACACGUGGAGUGUCAGAGUACAUGUCGGGGAGCUACGGUAGCCUUCACAUGCCAGAAAGGAUGUUGUUUUCCUUAAUUUGCACACUAAACUUCUACCUCAAAACACGUAAAAACACACUCUGACUGCUUUUGUAAGAUGGCUUUUAUUAAAUGUCGUAUCAGGAGACAUUAUAUAGACUUUUUAACAAUUCUUAGUGCUAUAUAUUUAAACGAUUUGACACCUUGAUUUGUCAGUUAUCAGCUUCAAGGUGUACAGAAAAUGUACACCUUAAAUUUUCAGGAAAAAUGACAAUAGUGUGAUUUGGAUGACUAUCAGACGUAUAAGAUUGCAUGUACCAUAAAUGGAUGAUUUUAUCCAUAAUACCCUCCCCUUGUCACAAUCAUGAA